Molecule: non-coding RNA, 145 nt
Organism: Gossypium raimondii (Peruvian cotton)
Lineage: Eukaryota; Viridiplantae; Streptophyta; Magnoliopsida; Malvales; Malvaceae
Source: Rfam
UGUUAAAAUUUUCAUCCAUUUAUAUUAUUAAAAAUUGGGGUGACUAACAGAAUAACCAAACAGUUACACGUGAUGUGUCAUAUGUACCUCAUACUAACAUAAAUGAACUAGUUUUAAACGAUAGAAAUAUAUAGAAAUUUUAACA